AUGUCAAAUGUGACCAUAGAGCAAACUGAGGAUGUGUCACCGCCAUCACCACCGGUUUAUGAUUUUAGUCGUCUUAAACAUGAUCCCGGGGACAGGCUACCCAUUGCAAGUUAUCCUAUCAAUGAUCAAGACGCAGUUCGAAGAGCAUAUAUCCUUAAAAAGCCAUUCAAACCUUAUGCACAUGACUUUAAGAAAAGAACAAUUGGGAGUAGAGAACGUUCGUUCAAUCCUUUGUGGCUCCAUAAUAAUAGUUGGCUUGAAUAUAGUAUCAAGAAGGAAUCUGCAUUUUGCUUUGUAUGUUACUUGUUCAAAGAGAAAAAAACUAGUGGUAAGGGAACUAAUGCAUUUACUGAUGGUGGUUGGAGUAAUUGGAAUAGAGAGGAUGCUCUUCUUAAGCAUGUUGGUUGCGUAUCAAGUGUGCAUAAUGCAGCUCAAGAGAGAUAUAACUUAUUUGUAAAUCCUCGUGCAGCUAUUGAUGAUCUUUUUGUGAAGGUGAACAGUGAGGAUCUGCGUCUUUACAAGAUGAGGUUGAAGUAUUCACUUAGAUGGUUGCAGUUUCUUCUUCAUCAAGGAUUGGCAUUUCGUGGGCAUGAUGAAAGUGAACAAUCUAGCAAUAGAGGAAACUUCCUUGAGCUAUUGAAGUGGCUUGCAGCAAAUAGUGAGGAGGCGAAUAAGUAUGUUUUGAAGAAUGCACCAGGUAACUGCCAAUUGACAUCUCAUCAGAUACAACAUCAGAUUAUUCAAUGUUGUGCACAACUUACUAGAAAGCAAAUUAUUGAUGAACUUGGUGAUGAGCACUAUGCUAUUCUAGCUGAUGAGUCUAGUGAUGUAUCACAUAAAGAACAACUAGCUUUAUGCUUGCGUUUUGUUGAUAAAGUAGGGAGGCCGUCUGAGCACUUUCUUGGAGUUGUUCAUGUAAGUGACACUACUUCAUUGUCACUUAAGGAAGCAAUUGAAACUUUACUUACUGAUCAUGGUUUGACUAUAACACAAAUUCGUGGGCAAGGAUAUGAUGGGGCUAGUAAUAUGAGAGGAUAAAUUAAAGGAUUGAAAACAUUGAUCAUGAAAGAGUCACCUUCUGCCUAUUAUAUUCAUUGUUUUGCACAUCAACUCCAGCUAGUUCUUGUUGCUGUUGCCAAGGGAAAUGAUGAUUGUGUGUGGUUUUUUGAUCGAGUGUCUUUAUUACUGAAUGUUAUUGGAGUGUCUUGUAAGCGUCAUGACAUGCUUCGAGAUGCUAGACUUCAGAAUAUCCUGAAACUACUUGAAUGUGGUGAGUUACAAACCGGGAGUGGUUUGAAUCAAGAGAUGGGGUUACCUAGGCCUGGUGAUACUCGGUGGGGCUCUCAUUACAAAACUGUUCUUAACAUUAUUGCUAUGUAUCCCACAAUCUGUGAUGUGCUCAUAACUCUUGGACAAGAUGCUUCACAAAGAAGUGAUUAGCCCAAAAUUCAUACUAUUGUUGGAGUGUUCGAGUCAUUUGACUUUAUUUUCAAUGCACACUUGAUGCUUGUCAUUCUUGGAUACACAAGUGAUUUGUCUGAUUGUUUGCAAAGAAGAGACCAAGAUAUUCUUACUGCAAUGGCACUUGUUAGAACUGCAAAAAGUAGAAUACAAGAGCUUAGGGAUAAUGGAUGGGAUGCAUUUCUGCAAAAGGUCACACUAUUUUGUAACAAGCAUGGCAUUCAAGUUCCUAUAAUGGAAGAUAAUUAUGUGCCUUAAGGAAGAUCAACAUGGUUUGCUCGACCCCAAAUAAAUGAUGAUCACUUUAGAAGAGAAGUUUUUCUUGGAGUCAUUGAUCAAAUUAGUCAAGAGCUUGAAAAUCGGUUUGAUGAGAUCAAUAUGGAGCUGCUAUCUUGUAUGUCUGCUUUGAAUCCCGCCAACUCAUUUGCUGCUUUUGAUGCACAAAAGGUACAAAGACUUGCUGAUUUUUAUCCCAAAGACUUUUCAAGUGCCGACUUGAUACACCUUGAACUACAACUUGAUAACUAUAUUGAUGACAUGAGAAAUGAUGAGAACUUCCAAGGCCUUGGAAAUCUUGUUGAUCUCUCUGUUAAGCUUGUCCAAACAGGGAGACAUAUAGUUCAUCAUUUGGUGUACUUGCUUUUAAAAUUGGUAUUGAUUCUCCCGGUUGCAACGGCAAAUGUUGAGAGAGCAUUUUCUGCCAUGAGUUUUGUCAAGAACAAGUUGAGAAAUAAGAUGGGUGAUAGUCUUUUGGAUGAUUGCCUAGUCACAUACAUUGAGAGGGAUGCUUUCUCCGAGGUGAAUGAAGAUGACAUAAUUGACACCUUCAUGGCAAUGCAAAAACGUAGGCCAGAAAGAUAG
This 2322-nucleotide ribosomal RNA is filed under the name Triticum aestivum (bread wheat). RNAcentral describes it as "partial small subunit ribosomal RNA". Lineage: Eukaryota; Viridiplantae; Streptophyta; Magnoliopsida; Poales; Poaceae. The record is from RNAcentral.